This 253-nucleotide ribosomal RNA is filed under the name uncultured bacterium. Its description in RNAcentral is "partial 16S ribosomal RNA". It matches the Rfam family "Bacterial small subunit ribosomal RNA", at positions 524 to 776 of the family's 1533-position model. The record is from RNAcentral.
UACGGGGGGGGCAAGCGUUGUUCGGAAUUACUGGGCGUAAAGGGCUCGUAGGUGGCCAACUAAGUCAGACGUGAAAUCCCUCAGCUUAACUGGGGAACUGCGUCUGAUACUGGAUGGCUUGAGUUUGGGAGAGGGAUGCGGAAUUCCAGGUGUAGCGGUGAAAUGCGUAGAUAUCUGGAGGAACACCGGUGGCGAAGGCGGCAUCCUGGACCAAUACUGACGCUGAGGAGCGAAAGCCAGGGGAGCAAACGGG